AUAACACUCUAACAUCAAAUGCCU
This 24-nucleotide non-coding RNA is filed under the name Arabidopsis thaliana (thale cress). Lineage: Eukaryota; Viridiplantae; Streptophyta; Magnoliopsida; Brassicales; Brassicaceae. The record is from RNAcentral.